AAUCAACGCUGGCGGCGUGCCUCAGACAUGCAAGUCGAACGAUUAAACUUUCCUUCGGGAAAGAUAUAAAGUGGCGCACGGGUGAGUAACACGUAAGUAAUCUACCUUCGAGUGGGGAAUAACGUCCGGAAACGGACGCUAAUACCGCAUAAUGCAGCGGCACCUUAUGGUGACAGUUGUUAAAGGAGCAAUUCGCUUGAAGAGGAGCUUGCGGCAGAUUAGCUAGUUGGUAAGGUAACGGCUUACCAAGGCUACGAUCUGUAACCGGUCUAAGAGGACGGUCGGUCACACUGACACUGAAUAACGGGUCAGACUCCUACGGGAGGCAGCAGUCGGGAAUUUUGGGCAAUGGCGAAAGCCUGACCCAGCAACGCCGCGUGAAGGAUGAAGUACUUCGGUAUGUAAACUUCGAAAGAAUGGGAAGAAUCAAUGACGGUACCAUUUAUAAGGUCCGGCUAACUACGUGCCAGCCGCCGCAGUAAC
This 483-nucleotide ribosomal RNA is filed under the name uncultured bacterium. RNAcentral describes it as "bacterial SSU rRNA". It matches the Rfam family "Bacterial small subunit ribosomal RNA", at positions 32 to 524 of the family's 1533-position model. The record is from RNAcentral.